Molecule: non-coding RNA, 391 nt
Organism: Pelobates cultripes (western spadefoot toad)
Lineage: Eukaryota; Metazoa; Chordata; Amphibia; Anura; Pelobatidae
Source: the annotation of a GenBank genome assembly
CAGAGCCUGCAUGAUGGAAUGUGUAAUGGUAGAUGACAUAGUUCCCAUGGCCGAAGAUAUGGCCUUACUAAUGGAGUUGGACAUAGUGGCGUCCAACAAGUUUUGGAACUCCUCUUAACCCAUGAGAGUGACAUCAUUAACAAGAUCAGAGAUAGAAGUCCCAAGGGGCAGGGGGUGGCCAGAAGAGCCAUCACCAGCAGACUGCAUGAUUAAGAAAAAUCCAACAAGCCAGGUAAUAAUAGAAAUAUAUAUAUGUGAGGCAAGGAUUGCUUAAACCAAGCCUUCUAUGUGAAAGGAUCAAUAACACAGUAUGACUAUGUAGAAAAAACAGAUACCAGUGAUGGGAGUGUGGAAGAGGGAAGAGGAGCCGUUUACCGCUUGCAGACCGGAC